This 292-nucleotide signal recognition particle RNA is filed under the name Cebus imitator (Panamanian white-faced capuchin). RNAcentral's name for it is "Metazoan signal recognition particle RNA (ENSCCAG00000012740.1)". It matches the Rfam family "Metazoan signal recognition particle RNA". From Rfam's summary of the family: The signal recognition particle (SRP) is a universally conserved ribonucleoprotein. Lineage: Eukaryota; Metazoa; Chordata; Mammalia; Primates; Cebidae. The record is from Rfam by way of RNAcentral.
GCCCGGUGUGGUAGCGCAGGCCUGUAGUGCCAGAUACUCAGGAGUCUGAGCGGGGAGGCUGACUUGAGCCAGGGAGUUCCAGUGCUCUGCGCUGAUUGUCUGAUACACGACAUUCAGCAUCCACACAGCAACCUCCCAGGAGUGGGAGACCCCAGGUUGCUUAAUAAGGGUGAGCUGGCCCAGGCUGGAAAUGGAGGAGGUCAAAACUCCUGUGCCGAUCGGUAGUGAGAUGGUGCCCGUGAAUAGCCACGGCACUCCAGCCUGGGCAACAUCGUGCGUGAGCCCCGCAUCU